CAGUUCGGAUUGGAGUCUGCAACCCGACUCCAUGAAGCUGGAUUCGCUAGUAAUCGCGCAUCAGCCACGGCGCGGUGAAUACGUUCCCGGGCCUUGUACACACCGCCCGUCACACCAUGGGAGCCGGUAAUACCCGAAGUCAGUAGUCCAACCUCGUGAGGACGCUGCCGAAGGUAGGAUUGGCGACUGGGGUGAAGUCGUAACAAGGUACC
RNAcentral lists this ribosomal RNA (212 nucleotides) under uncultured bacterium. RNAcentral's name for it is "partial 16S ribosomal RNA". It matches the Rfam family "Bacterial small subunit ribosomal RNA", at positions 1289 to 1500 of the family's 1533-position model. The record is from RNAcentral.